This 450-nucleotide ribosomal RNA is filed under the name uncultured bacterium. Its description in RNAcentral is "SSU rRNA". It matches the Rfam family "Bacterial small subunit ribosomal RNA", at positions 26 to 518 of the family's 1533-position model. The record is from RNAcentral.
AGAGCGAACGCUGGCGGCAGGCUUAACACAUGCAAGUCGAGCGGGCGUAGCAAUACGUCAGCGGCAGACGGGUGAGUAACGCGUGGGAACAUACCUUUUGGUUCGGAACAACACAGGGAAACUUGUGCUAAUACCGGAUAAGCCCUUACGGGGAAAGAUUUAUCGCCGAAAGAUUGGCCCGCGUCUGAUUAGCUAGUUGGUGAGGUAACGGCUCACCAAGGCGACGAUCAGUAGCUGGUCUGAGAGGAUGAUCAGCCACAUUGGGACUGAGACACGGCCCAAACUCCUACGGGAGGCAGCAGUGGGGAAUAUUGGACAAUGGGCGCAAGCCUGAUCCAGCCAUGCCGCGUGAGUGAUGAAGGCCCUAGGGUUGUAAAGCUCUUUUGUGCGGGAAGAUAAUGACGGUACCGCAAGAAUAAGCCCCGGCUAACGUUCGUCGCCAGCAGCCGC